GGUUAAGCGACUAAGCGUACACGGUGGAUGCCCUGGCAGUCAGAGGCGAUGAAGGACGUGCUAAUCUGCGAUAAGCGUCGGUAAGGUGAUAUGAACCGUUAUAACCGGCGAUUUCCGAAUGGGGAAACCCAGUGUGAUUCGUCACACUAUCAUUAACUGAAUCCAUAGGUUAAUGAGGCGAACCGGGGGAACUGAAACAUCUAAGUACCCCGAGGAAAAGAAAUCAACCGAGAUUCCCCCAGUAGCGGCGAGCGAACGGGGAGCAGCCCAGAGCCUGAAUCAGUGUGUGUGUUAGUGGAAGCGUCUGGAAAGGCGCGCGAUACAGGGUGACAGCCCCGUACACAAAAAUGCACAUGCUGUGAGCUCGAUGAGUAGGGCGGGACACGUGGUAUCCUGUCUGAAUAUGGGGGGACCAUCCUCCAAGGCUAAAUACUCCUGACUGACCGAUAGUGAACCAGUACCGUGAGGGAAAGGCGAAAAGAACCCCGGCGAGGGGAGUGAAAAAGAACCUGAAACCGUGUACGUACAAGCAGUGGGAGCACGCUUAGGCGUGUGACUGCGUACCUUUUGUAUAAUGGGUCAGCGACUUAUAUUCUGUAGCAAGGUUAACCGAAUAGGGGAGCCGAAGGGAAACCGAGUCUUAACUGGGCGUUAAGUUGCAGGGUAUAGACCCGAAACCCGGUGAUCUAGCCAUGGGCAGGUUGAAGGUUGGGUAACACUAACUGGAGGACCGAACCGACUAAUGUUGAAAAAUUAGCGGAUGACUUGUGGCUGGGGGUGAAAGGCCAAUCAAACCGGGAGAUAGCUGGUUCUCCCCGAAAGCUAUUUAGGUAGCGCCUCGUGAAUUCAUCUCCGGGGGUAGAGCACUGUUUCGGCAAGGGGGUCAUCCCGACUUACCAACCCGAUGCAAACUGCGAAUACCGGAGAAUGUUAUCACGGGAGACACACGGCGGGUGCUAACGUCCGUCGUGAAGAGGGAAACAACCCAGACCGCCAGCUAAGGUCCCAAAGUCAUGGUUAAGUGGGAAACGAUGUGGGAAGGCCCAGACAGCCAGGAUGUUGGCUUAGAAGCAGCCAUCAUUUAAAGAAAGCGUAAUAGCUCACUGGUCGAGUCGGCCUGCGCGGAAGAUGUAACGGGGCUAAACCAUGCACCGAAGCUGCGGCAGCGACGCUUAUGCGUUGUUGGGUAGGGGAGCGUUCUGUAAGCCUGCGAAGGUGUGCUGUGAGGCAUGCUGGAGGUAUCAGAAGUGCGAAUGCUGACAUAAGUAACGAUAAAGCGGGUGAAAAGCCCGCUCGCCGGAAGACCAAGGGUUCCUGUCCAACGUUAAUCGGGGCAGGGUGAGUCGACCCCUAAGGCGAGGCCGAAAGGCGUAGUCGAUGGGAAACAGGUUAAUAUUCCUGUACUUGGUGUUACUGCGAAGGGGGGACGGAGAAGGCUAUGUUGGCCGGGCGACGGUUGUCCCGGUUUAAGCGUGUAGGCUGGUUUUCCAGGCAAAUCCGGAAAAUCAAGGCUGAGGCGUGAUGACGAGGCACUACGGUGCUGAAGCAACAAAUGCCCUGCUUCCAGGAAAAGCCUCUAAGCAUCAGGUAACAUCAAAUCGUACCCCAAACCGACACAGGUGGUCAGGUAGAGAAUACCAAGGCGCUUGAGAGAACUCGGGUGAAGGAACUAGGCAAAAUGGUGCCGUAACUUCGGGAGAAGGCACGCUGAUAUGUAGGUGAAGUCCCUCGCGGAUGGAGCUGAAAUCAGUCGAAGAUACCAGCUGGCUGCAACUGUUUAUUAAAAACACAGCACUGUGCAAACACGAAAGUGGACGUAUACGGUGUGACGCCUGCCCGGUGCCGGAAGGUUAAUUGAUGGGGUUAGCGCAAGCGAAGCUCUUGAUCGAAGCCCCGGUAAACGGCGGCCGUAACUAUAACGGUCCUAAGGUAGCGAAAUUCCUUGUCGGGUAAGUUCCGACCUGCACGAAUGGCGUAAUGAUGGCCAGGCUGUCUCCACCCGAGACUCAGUGAAAUUGAACUCGCUGUGAAGAUGCAGUGUACCCGCGGCAAGACGGAAAGACCCCGUGAACCUUUACUAUAGCUUGACACUGAACAUUGAGCCUUGAUGUGUAGGAUAGGUGGGAGGCUU
RNAcentral lists this ribosomal RNA (2131 nucleotides) under Escherichia coli. Its description in RNAcentral is "partial 23S ribosomal RNA". It matches the Rfam family "Bacterial large subunit ribosomal RNA", at positions 1 to 2157 of the family's 2925-position model. The record is from RNAcentral. Lineage: Bacteria; Pseudomonadati; Pseudomonadota; Gammaproteobacteria; Enterobacterales; Enterobacteriaceae.